UACGUAUGGUGCAAGCGUUAUCCGGAUUUAUUGGGUUUGAAGGGUGCGUAGGCGGAUCGUUAAGUCAGUGGUCAAAUUGAGGGGCUCAACCCCUUCCCGCCAUUGAAACUGGCGAUCUUGAGUGGAAGAGAAGUAUGCGGAAUGCGUGGUGUAGCGGUGAAAUGCAUAGAUAUCACGCAGAACCCCGAUUGCGAAGGCAGCAUGCCGGCUUCCUACUGACGCUGAAGCACGAAAGCGUGGGGAUCGAACAGG
RNAcentral lists this ribosomal RNA (252 nucleotides) under uncultured bacterium. RNAcentral's name for it is "partial 16S ribosomal RNA". It matches the Rfam family "Bacterial small subunit ribosomal RNA", at positions 524 to 776 of the family's 1533-position model. The record is from RNAcentral.